UACGUAGGGGGCAAGCGUUAUCCGGAUUUACUGGGUGUAAAGGGAGCGUAGACGGUUCUGCAAGUCUGAUGUGAAAGGCGGGGGCUCAACUCCUGGACUGCAUUGGAAACUGUAGGACUUGAGUGCCGGAGAGGUAAGCGGAAUUCCUGGUGUAGCGGUGAAAUGCGUAGAUAUCAGGAGGAACACCAGUGGCGAAGGCGGCUUACUGGACGGUAACUGACGUUGAGGCUCGAAGGCGUGGGGAGCAAACAGG
This 253-nucleotide ribosomal RNA is filed under the name uncultured bacterium. Its description in RNAcentral is "partial 16S ribosomal RNA". It matches the Rfam family "Bacterial small subunit ribosomal RNA", at positions 524 to 776 of the family's 1533-position model. The record is from RNAcentral.